UGGUAUCAGAGCGAUGUUC
Molecule: transfer RNA, 19 nt
Filed under: Rice tungro bacilliform virus
Lineage: Riboviria; Pararnavirae; Artverviricota; Revtraviricetes; Ortervirales; Caulimoviridae
Description: tRNA-Met
Source: RNAcentral